Molecule: ribosomal RNA, 619 nt
Filed under: uncultured bacterium
Lineage: Bacteria
Description: bacterial SSU rRNA
Rfam family: Bacterial small subunit ribosomal RNA
Source: RNAcentral
GAGUUUGAUCCUGGCUCAGGAUGAACGCUGGCGGCGUGCUUAACACAUGCAAGUCGAACGAAGCACUCUUUUAGAUUUCCUUCGGGGAAGAAGAAAUUGUGACUGAGUGGCGGACGGGUGAGUAACGCGUGGGCAACCUGCCCCAUACAGGGGGAUAACAGCCGGAAACGGCUGCUAAAACCGCAUAAGCGCACAAGGGCCGCAUGGCCUGGUGUGAAAAACUCCGGUGGUAUGGGAUGGGCCCGCGUCUGAUUAGCCAGUUGGUAGGGUAACGGCCUACCAAAGCAACGAUCAGUAGCCGGCCUGAGAGGGUGAACGGCCACAUUGGGACUGAGACACGGCCCAGACUCCUACGGGAGGCAGCAGUGGGGGAUAUUGCACAAUGGGGGGAACCCUGAUGCAGCAACGCCGCGUGAGUGAAGAAGUAUUUCGGUAUGUAAAGCUCUAUCAGCAGGGAAGAUGAUGACGGUACCUGCAUAAGAAGCCCCGGCUAACUACGUGCCAGCAGCCGCGGUAAUACGUAGGGGGCAAGCGUUAUCCGGAUUUACUGGGUGUAAAGGGAGUGUAGGCGGUACGGCAAGUCUGAUGUGAAAACCCUAAGCUCAACUAAGGGAGUGCA